UGAGUUGGUCAGCUGGAAGUCCAUCAAGAACAAGACAAGUUUGGAGUUUUGAAGGUGAAGCAGACUUGACAUCUACUUCUACUCAUCACUACAGACAGGUGUCAUGUUCUGUCUCUCUCUCCCCUCUCCCUCACCUAUUCUCUCUCUCUCUCCUUUCCUCUAUGUUGUUCUCUCUCUGGUGUCUGUCUAACAUCAGUCUGGUCCUCUCCAGGGUUUCUGCCUGUUAAAGGAAGUUUCUCCUCUCCACUGUCACUCAUGUUAGAUAAGAUGGUACCAAACACAGGAGCCAAAAAACAGCUGUUCGAUCUCCUCUGUUCAAACCUGAAAGUCCAGCUGUGAUCCAAAGGAAAUCCUCUGACCUUCGAGUUGGAGGUAAAAAGGAGAAUUCAGGUCCAGAAAAUUGACCGUAGCUGCUCCAAAAUAUGAGAAGAAGAUGAGAAGAAGCUGAGAGAGAUUGUUAGUCUCUGUGUUUGGAUGGAAACAGCUGCAGUGAUUGGCUCAUUUCCUUCAGUGCAGAGUCAGCAGUUUUGACGGCGAAGCUCCGCCCCCCUGUGGGCGGAGGUCGUAACUGUGGGCAGUUGUAAACUCUAAAGAGGUGGUAAAGUGAUCAUUUCCCAGCUUUACAUUAUCCUAUUAAAAACAGAAGCUCAGCCCUGAGUGCUGUGAUUAUUCUGUGAUAAUGUCACUUUGUUUUCUAAAUUUGUCCGCUCCUGAUCCUGAAGAGACACGUAGAAUUUUUUAAGUCCAGUAGCUAUAAAUCGGAGUCAAACAGGUUUAUAGAACUUCCUCCACAGAUACCACAGUAUCUCAAUAAUUCAGAGGUAGAGAAAUUGGCUAACAUUACAGAGGUCUAGAGUUCGAGUCCCGACGGUGACUUAAUUCUUUUCAGAGCCUGAAUAUAUGACUAUCCCAGAGUUCUGAUCCACAAAUAAUCUGUGGUGUUACAAUCAGAAACGGAUCGUAGUUAAGAGGUAGUUCACUUAUAUCUUCAUAUCUUCGCUCCGGGGCUUUAAAAUUCGCGGUUUCUCCCGGG
Non-coding RNA from Xyrichtys novacula (pearly razorfish), 1033 nucleotides. NCBI's taxonomy places the organism in Eukaryota, Metazoa, Chordata, Actinopteri, Labriformes, Labridae. The record is from the annotation of a GenBank genome assembly.